GUCUACGGCCACGCCACCCUGAAUGAGCCCGAUCCCAUCUGGUCUCGGACGCUAAACAGGGUCUGGCUUGGUGAGUCCUUGGAUGGGAGACCACCUACGAAGACCAGGGGCUGUAGGCG
RNAcentral lists this ribosomal RNA (119 nucleotides) under Pteropus alecto (black flying fox). The record is from RNAcentral. Lineage: Eukaryota; Metazoa; Chordata; Mammalia; Chiroptera; Pteropodidae.